CCUACGGGAGGCAGCAGUAGGGAAUCUUUCACAAUGGGCGAAAGCCUGAUGGAGCAACGCCGCGUGCAGGAUGAAGGCCUUCGGGUUGUAAACUGCUUUUAUAAGCGAGAAAUAUGAUGGUAACUUAUGAAUAAGGAUCGGCUAACUACGUGCCAGCAGCCGCGGUCAUACGUAGGAUCCGAGCAUUAUCCGGAGUGACUGGGUGUAAAGAGUUGCGUAGGUGGCAUAAUAAGUAGCUAGUGAAAUCUGGUGGCUCAACCAUUCAGACUAUUAGCUAAACUGUUAAGCUCGAGACCGUUAGGGGUAACUGGAAUUUCUAGUGUAGGAGUGAAAUGCGUAGAUAUGAGAAGGAACACCAAUAGCGUAGGCAGGUUACUGGGACGGUUCUGACACUGAGGCACGAAAGCGUAGGGAGCAAACGGGAUUAGAUACCCGAGUAGUC
This 442-nucleotide ribosomal RNA is filed under the name uncultured bacterium. RNAcentral describes it as "partial 16S ribosomal RNA". It matches the Rfam family "Bacterial small subunit ribosomal RNA", at positions 338 to 795 of the family's 1533-position model. The record is from RNAcentral.